AUGACGCACUUUUCCAGCUCGAGCCCUCACGAGGCCGUGGGUACGACCGGAAGCCGCAGACUGAAUCUCGCUCUGUUGCCCAGCCCAUCUCGGCCCACUGAAACCUCCACCUCCCGGGUUCAAGCGAUUCUCCUGCCUCAGCCUCCCGAGUAGCUGAGAUUACAGGCGCCUGCCACCACGCCCAGGUAAUUUUUGUAUUUUUGGUAGAGACGGGGUUUCACCAUGUUGGCCAGGCUGGUCUCAAACUCCUGACCUCAGGUGAUCUGUCCACCUUGGCCUCCCAAAGUGCUGGGAUUACAGGUGUGAACCACCUCGCCCGGCCAUCUACUUUUUUUAAUAGCCCUCCUUAUCACCUUUAUUCAUUUGACUCACUGAUGAUUCCCAAGUGCUAAGAACAAUGUCUGUCAUGUAAUUGAUGAAAACUUUGUUGAAUUAAUACCUUUGUUGUGUUUUAUUCACACUGUAUAUACAAUACCUGGAUGAAGAGAGAUAUUUUUAGCACUAUUAAAAUACAUGCAUUGGCUCAAUACAUGAAUUGGAUCAAUUCUGGAACCCUAACAAGAUCACAU
RNAcentral lists this long non-coding RNA (569 nucleotides) under Homo sapiens (human). RNAcentral's name for it is "non-protein coding lnc-C2orf15-1:1". The record is from RNAcentral. Lineage: Eukaryota; Metazoa; Chordata; Mammalia; Primates; Hominidae.